RNAcentral lists this transfer RNA (72 nucleotides) under Bos taurus (domestic cattle). It matches the Rfam family "tRNA". Rfam says of the family: Transfer RNA (tRNA) molecules are approximately 80 nucleotides in length. Their secondary structure includes four short double-helical elements and three loops (D, anti-codon, and T loops). Further hydrogen bonds mediate the characteristic L-shaped molecular structure. tRNAs have two regions of fundamental functional importance: the anti-codon, which is responsible for specific mRNA codon recognition, and the 3' end, to which the tRNAs corresponding amino acid is attached (by aminoacyl-tRNA synthetases). tRNAs cope with the degeneracy of the genetic code in two manners: having more than one tRNA (with a specific anti-codon) for a particular amino acid; and 'wobble' base-pairing, i.e. permitting non-standard base-pairing at the 3rd anti-codon position. Lineage: Eukaryota; Metazoa; Chordata; Mammalia; Artiodactyla; Bovidae. RNAcentral also lists the same sequence under 5 other names. The record is from Rfam by way of RNAcentral.
UCCCUGGUGGCUCAGUCAGUAAAGAAUCUGCCUGCAAUGCAGGAGACCCAGGUUUGAUCCCUGGGUGGGGAA